GUCUACAGCCAUGCCACCCUGAACAAGCCCGAUCCUGUCUGAUCUCAGAAGCUAAGCAGGGUCGGGCCUGGUUAGUACUUGGAUGGGAGACCACCUAGGAAAACCCGGUACUGUAGGCA
This 119-nucleotide ribosomal RNA is filed under the name Pteropus alecto (black flying fox). The record is from RNAcentral. Lineage: Eukaryota; Metazoa; Chordata; Mammalia; Chiroptera; Pteropodidae.